This 424-nucleotide ribosomal RNA is filed under the name uncultured bacterium. Its description in RNAcentral is "partial 16S ribosomal RNA". It matches the Rfam family "Bacterial small subunit ribosomal RNA", at positions 63 to 476 of the family's 1533-position model. The record is from RNAcentral.
CGAACGGCAGCACAGAGGAGCWUGCUCSKUGGGUGGCGAGUGGCGGACGGGUGAGGAAUACAUCGGAAUCUACYYUGUCGUGGGGGAUAACGUAGGGAAACUUACGCUAAUACCGCAUACGACCUACGGGUGAAAGCGGRGGAYCKYMRGRCYUYGCGCGAUUGRAUGAGCCGAUGUCGGAUUAGCUAGUUGGCGGGGUAAAGGCCCACCAAGGCGACGAUCCGUAGCUGGUCUGAGAGGAUGAUCAGCCACACUGGAACYGAGACACGGUCCAGACUCCUACGGGAGGCAGCAGUGGGGAAUAUUGGACAAUGGGCGCAAGCCUGAUCCAGCCAURCCGCGUGGGUGAAGAAGGCCUUCGGGUUGUAAAGCCCUUUUGUUGGGAAAGAAAAGCAGUCGGUUAAUACCCGAUUGUUCUGACGGU